UUGAAGGCGGUGAUGCUUCAAUACUACCUAUUUUAUGACCGAAUGGCAAAUUUUCAUUCGUAAUUAUAAAAUUACCAAUGGAUCCUUCUGAGCCUUCA
This is a non-coding RNA of Cicer arietinum (chickpea), 98 nucleotides long. The record is from Rfam. NCBI's taxonomy places the organism in Eukaryota, Viridiplantae, Streptophyta, Magnoliopsida, Fabales, Fabaceae.